ACAGAGAGUGCAAACGUUGUUCGGAAUUACUGGGCUUAAAGCGCACGUAGGCUGUGUCGUAAGUGUCAGGUGAAAUCCCACGGCUCACCCGUGGAACUGCCUGGCAUACUGCGAUACUCGAGUGUGGUAGGGGAGAGCGGAACUCCUGGUGGAGCGGUGAAAUGCGUAGAUAUCAGGAGGAACACCGGUGGCGAAGGCGGCUCUCUGGUCCACAACUGACGCUGAGGUGCGAAAGCUAGGGGAGCAAACGGGAUUAGAUACCCCGGUAGUCCUAGCUGUAAACGAUGGGCACUAGCUUGGGGUCUCCCUGUGUGAUCCCAGGUGAAGUAAAAAUGAUAAGUGCCCCGCCUGGGGAGUAUGGUCGCAAGGCUG
RNAcentral lists this ribosomal RNA (372 nucleotides) under uncultured bacterium. RNAcentral's name for it is "bacterial SSU rRNA". It matches the Rfam family "Bacterial small subunit ribosomal RNA", at positions 525 to 896 of the family's 1533-position model. The record is from RNAcentral.